AGUAUAUCGACGAGUAUCCGGCUUUCGGGUAUAAAAGAAGAGCAUGAAAUUCCACGAAAACAAACUUAACGAAUCAUUCAUUAGCGAUGCUACAAAACAAUAUACUGUUGGAGUUUGCCGCUCGGUAACAAGAAAAUGGCAUUCAUAACAACGACCCAUUCCAACCGUAAUGGGCCAUACUGAGUUUUUCUGUGGUUACUCAAAAUCGU
This is a non-coding RNA of Schizosaccharomyces pombe (fission yeast), 209 nucleotides long. NCBI's taxonomy places the organism in Eukaryota, Fungi, Ascomycota, Schizosaccharomycetes, Schizosaccharomycetales, Schizosaccharomycetaceae. The record is from the annotation of a GenBank genome assembly.